Molecule: long non-coding RNA, 210 nt
Organism: Brassica oleracea var. oleracea
Lineage: Eukaryota; Viridiplantae; Streptophyta; Magnoliopsida; Brassicales; Brassicaceae
Exons: 3
Source: RefSeq, a predicted model, not a curated record
CUAACUGAAUCUGGGAUUGCAUCUCUAUUAGCAGAAGGAAAGGUUCCAAUUGGUAUCGGUAGAGAGACAAAGAUCAGGAAAUGCAUCAUUGACAAGAACUCUCAUGGAGUUUCAGCGCAUCUUUGAACUGAAGGGUCUUAAGAAAGCUGAUCAGCAGAGCAUACUUGAUGAUUUCAACAAGCAUGGCCCAGGGUUUACAGAGCCCUCUGU